CACCCAUCUCCUUUGGAAGACUAAUAUCUAGGAAGUGCAAGCUGCAAAAUACAAGUGAGCUAUAAAUUGGAAAUGUAGACAUUUAUCAAUAUUUAUAUGCUGUAAUCACAUUAAGGAAAUACAGCUGAUAUAAUUGUCACAAAGCUGCAGGGAAAUUCAUGGACGAAUCCAUGAGACCUUGAGGCUCAUAGCAGAUGUAGCCAUGCCCAUGAAGCUUUCCAAUCAUCUAGAUGCAAUGCAAGGAGACAGCAGAGGGCCAAGCAAGAAUGCUGAGCUAGGCAGCUAGCUUCCAUGGCUGCCUAAGCUGAGGGUUUAAAUUAUUUGAAAAUUAGCUGUUUCCUUAUAAAGUUAUGCUUGGGGGAUAACAAUAAAGUCUAUCAAUGGAGACUCCCUAUCUCCAGCUUUGAUUUGUCAUUGAUAUGCUCUAUAUAAAGGAGGUUUAUCAUCUCCCUCUGAGUGUGCAAGUAAUAAUAAUGAAUUAAAAAGUUCAUAAUCUAG
This 498-nucleotide long non-coding RNA is filed under the name Oryza sativa (Asian cultivated rice). RNAcentral describes it as "long non-coding RNA (OSAT_LNC001432)". The record is from RNAcentral. Lineage: Eukaryota; Viridiplantae; Streptophyta; Magnoliopsida; Poales; Poaceae.